This 797-nucleotide ribosomal RNA is filed under the name Denisiphantes sp. LT-2015. RNAcentral describes it as "SSU rRNA". It matches the Rfam family "Eukaryotic small subunit ribosomal RNA", at positions 984 to 1799 of the family's 1831-position model. Lineage: Eukaryota; Metazoa; Arthropoda; Arachnida; Araneae; Linyphiidae. The record is from RNAcentral.
CGAAAGUUAGAGGUUCGAAGGCGAUCAGAUACCGCCCUAGUUCUAACCAUAAACGAUGCCAGCCAGCGAUCCGGCUGUGUUCCUCAAAUGACACGCCGGGCAGCUUCCGGGAAACCAAAGCUUUUGGGUUCCGGGGGAAGUAUGGUUGCAAAGCUGAAACUUAAAGGAAUUGACGGAGGGGCACCACCAGACGUGGAUGUUGCGGUUCAAUUUGACUCAACGCAGCAAAUCCUACCAGGCCAGGACACAGGAAGGAUUGACAGAUUGAGAGCUCUUUCUUGAUUCUGUGGGUGGUGGUGCAUGGCCGUUCCUGGUUCGUGGAGCGAUUUGUCUUGUUUAUUCUGAUAACGGACGAGAUUCUAGCCUACUAAAUAGACGCUUCGAUCCUUCGAGUCGAGCGUUCUUCUUAGAGGGACAGGCGAUGUUUAGUCGCACGAGGCAGAGCAAUAACAGGUCUGUAAUGCCCUUAGAUGUCCUGGGCCACACGCGUCCUACAUUGAAGGAAUCAACGUGUGCUUUCCCUGUCCGAAGGGACUGGGUAACCCGUUGAACCUCCUUCGUGCUGGGGAUAGGAAAUUGUAAUUAUUUUCCUUGAACGAGGAACUUCUAGUAAGCGCGAGUCAUCAUCUCGGGUUGAUUAGGUCCCUGCCCCUUGUCCACACCGCCCGUCGCUAUUACCGAUUGAAUGAUUUAGUGAGGUCUUCGGACUGGCGCUCGGAUUGGCCUUCGGGUCGAGCCGGCGUGCCGGAAAGAUGACCGAACUUGACCAUUUAGAGGAAAUAAAAGUCGUAACAAGG